UGGGGAAUAUUGCACAAUGGGCGCAAGCCUGAUGCAGCCAUGCCGCGUGUAUGAAGAAGGCCUUCGGGUUGUAAAGUACUUUCAGCGGGGAGGAAGGUGUUGUGGUUAAUAACCACAGCAAUUGACGUUACCCGCAGAAGAAGCACCGGCUAACUCCGUGCCAGCAGCCGCGGGAAUACGGAGGGUGCAAGCGUUAAUCGGAAUUACUGGGCGUAAAGCGCACGCAGGCGGUCUGUCAAGUCGGAUGUGAAAUCCCCGGGCUCAACCUGGGAACUGCAUCCGAAACUGGCAGGCUUGAGUCUUGUAGAGGGGGGUAGAAUUCCAGGUGUAGCGGUGAAAUGCGUAGAGAUCUGGAGGAAUACCGGUGGCGAAGGCGGCCCCCUGGACAAAGACUGACGCUCAGGUGCGAAAGCGUGGGGAGCAAACA
This 427-nucleotide ribosomal RNA is filed under the name uncultured bacterium. RNAcentral's name for it is "partial 16S ribosomal RNA". It matches the Rfam family "Bacterial small subunit ribosomal RNA", at positions 355 to 774 of the family's 1533-position model. The record is from RNAcentral.